UGCUGCGUGACUGCUCCUGGUGCCAAGGCCACCGCUGCCAUGAGUCUGAAUGGCUAAUGUUGAGAUUAGCAGGGCCUCCCUUCUACUGGCCUGUCCUCCUGGCUCUCCUCCCUUUUGCCUCUUCUGGAUUUCAGCCAGUGCAGGGGAAAUCCUCAUCUUUCCCACUCACUGCUACACUCACUGUGAUGUGUUUAUAGACCUUCGGGGACCACACCUCCUCCAGCUGUCUGCCUUACUCGAAAAUGAGACCCAGCUUGUCCCUGACUUCUAGUAGCCAGAAAGUCUUCCACAAGAUCCAGCCGCAUGAUACUAAGUACACACAUAAAUGUGAAAACAAACCCCUCCAGCCUUUCCCACUGUAAAUCAACAGCACAUGC
RNAcentral lists this non-coding RNA (377 nucleotides) under Pan troglodytes (chimpanzee). The record is from RNAcentral. Lineage: Eukaryota; Metazoa; Chordata; Mammalia; Primates; Hominidae.